This 350-nucleotide transfer-messenger RNA is filed under the name Chitinispirillales bacterium. It matches the Rfam family "transfer-messenger RNA". Rfam says of the family: Bacterial tmRNA, also known as 10Sa RNA or SsrA, is named for its dual tRNA and mRNA-like properties. Its role is to liberate the mRNA from a stalled ribosome. Lineage: Bacteria; Pseudomonadati; Fibrobacterota; Chitinispirillia; Chitinispirillales. The record is from RNAcentral.
GGGGGUGUACUGGUUUUCGACGGGGGAUGAAAGGCACGGUACAGCAUGCCGAGGACGUCGGUUGGCCUCGUUAAUCAUCCGACAAACCUAUAAUUGCCGAAGAUUACUCUUACGCAAUGGCUGCCUAAUUAAAGGCGGCAACUCGAUCGCUCAGCGCGCCUGUAGGCGGUCGAGCAGCUAAGGCGCUGGCUCGCGGGAAGAACUGGCUCGCGGGUAAGAUUAAGGUUCUGGCUCCCUUCGCAGCCUGUCUGGCGGCGGCAGAGGGGGUGAGACUAAUAGACAGACUAAGCAUGUAGCGGUUCGUGUUGAUUGUCUUUCGGACAGGGGUUCAACUCCCCUCACCUCCAUGU